Molecule: ribosomal RNA, 29 nt
Filed under: Veronica aphylla
Lineage: Eukaryota; Viridiplantae; Streptophyta; Magnoliopsida; Lamiales; Plantaginaceae
Description: partial 26S ribosomal RNA
Source: RNAcentral
GACCGCGACCCCAGGUCAGGCGGGACUAC